This 497-nucleotide ribosomal RNA is filed under the name uncultured bacterium. RNAcentral describes it as "partial 16S ribosomal RNA". It matches the Rfam family "Bacterial small subunit ribosomal RNA", at positions 28 to 507 of the family's 1533-position model. The record is from RNAcentral.
GAUGAACGCUGGCGGCGUGCCUAAUACAUGCAAGUCGAGCGAACGGACGAGAAGCUUGCUUCUCUGAUGUUAGCGGCGGACGGGUGAGUAACACGUGGAUAACCUACUUAUAAGACUGGGAUAACUUCGGGAAACCGGAGCUAAUACCGGAUAAUAUUUUGAACCGCAUGGUUCAAAAGUGAAAGACGGUCUUGCUGUCACUUAUAGAUGGAUCCGCGCUGCAUUAGCUAGUUGGUAAGGUAACGGCUUACCAAGGCAACGAUGCAUAACCGACCUGAGAGGGUGAUCGGCCACACUGGAACUGAGACACGGUCCAGACUCCUACGGGAGGCAGCAGUAGGGAAUCUUCCGCAAUGGGCGAAAGCCUGACGGAGCAACGCCGCGUGAGUGAUGAAGGUCUUCGGAUCGUAAAACUCUGUUAUUAGGGAAGAACAUAUGUGUAAGUAACUGUGCACAUCUUGACGGUACCUAAUCAGAAAGCCACGGCUAACUACGUG